CCAUUUCUUAUGAAAAAAGUUGUUGUGUCUUGUGUUAAAUGUAGACUUUGCAACUUUCACCUUCCAUUAUUGAAUCAAUCUCAAGAAUAAUUUAGAUUUCCAGAAAGUAUACUUUUCUUUGAUUUCUCUUAUGUUAAUGGUAGCCAUUUUGUAAUACCCUAGAUUUUUAUAUCAUUUUUCCUUGUAUUAUUCCCUUAAUUAAUGAAGGAUUAUUUAUGAAAAUUCUUGGGUUUAUGCGAAGUUGAAGUUUCGGGUGUUUUUUUUAAAUGCUUUGACUUUUAAGAGGCCAAAAGUUGACUUUAUUUUCCGUAGGUUAUCUUCGAAAACUUUCUUCAUGAAAGUUGUAGAGCUUGUCGAUGCGAGUUCGUAGACAUGCGGCACGCUUAAAUUGGAAGUUGUGAGAGAAAGUUGUGUUCAGAGGAAGUUUGUUUCCGGGUUUGAAAAGAGUAUAAGUAGAAAAAUGUGAGUGGGAUUAAUUAGAACCCUAAAAUCAGUUUCCCUUCUCUCUCUCUCUCCUCCCACCCGAGCUCCCCGAGCCUUCACCUUCUUCAGCCGAGUUCUUCCUCCUCCGGCCACCAAACCGGACGCCACCGGUCCCAUUCGACUCCCACAGCAGCCUUCUCCAUUUCUGGAGCAGCUCCGGCCACUGUCCCGCCGCCUGGAAGCCGCCAAGAAGCGGCGGAGCUGCAGCUGUCCAGCCGGAAAACAAGUGUUUUCGACGUCGUUUCCGGCCAAGUAUAGGUGAGUCUUGAUCCUCUCCUCGCCCUGGUAGUGUUUAGGCUUGGAUUGAAGCAAGUUUGUAAGGUUUUGAGGUCGGUUUUGCAGGUUUUGGAUUUGAUUUUCUGGUCAUGGUUCGGGACGGUUUCCGGCCGGUUCCGGCCAAAAUUGGUCGAAGUCUCAGGUAUGAAAGUUGUUCCUUUUGCUUCAAGCUUCAACUUUGCUGUUGGGAGUUUCUCCUAAUUCGGAAGUUGUGGGAGGCACGUGGGGCCCACUCGCCGCCGCUUGUGGCGGCGCGUGGCAGCGCGUCCGGCAAUGUUUAGGGCUUAGUUUGCUGCAUUGUAGCUAGCUCUUGUUGUGGUGAGCUUGUUGAGAUGUAGACUUUCUAGGUUGUGAGAAGUGUUAGUAUGUUAGAACGUUAAGUGUGAUAUUAGGUUGGUGGAGGUUUGAGUUAGGAAUGGAGGAUUAGAGGCAGCCAUUUUGGGUCUCUAAGUUCGACGACUUUGGAAAGUUGUCAUCCCUUGAACUAAGGAUUAGUUGAGGGUUUUGUGAAAACCUUUGGUAUUUUAGUUACUAAGGUUUUUAAUUGUGUGUUUUAGGUGUUUUGUGAAGUGGUGUUUUUGGCUUGCUCUUGUUGUUGUGGAAUUUACAGCGGGAGAUUUAGGUGAGUAAAUCUCACCAAGGUUCACUUUUGAACCAAAUUUAAUUAUGCUCAUGUGAUGAUGAUAAUAAUGAUGAUGUUGGAUUUAAUAUUAUUCUUU
Molecule: long non-coding RNA, 1478 nt
Filed under: Fragaria vesca (wild strawberry)
Lineage: Eukaryota; Viridiplantae; Streptophyta; Magnoliopsida; Rosales; Rosaceae
Description: long non-coding RNA (FVES_LNC005063)
Source: RNAcentral